GCUUACGGCCAUAUCACGUUGAAAGCACCGGUUCUCGUCUGAUCACCGAAGUUAAGCAACGUCGAGCCUAGUUAGUACUUAUAUGGGUGACCGCUUGAGAAACCUAGGUAUUGUAAGCG
RNAcentral lists this ribosomal RNA (119 nucleotides) under Octopus vulgaris (common octopus). Lineage: Eukaryota; Metazoa; Mollusca; Cephalopoda; Octopoda; Octopodidae. The record is from RNAcentral. RNAcentral also lists the same sequence under 1 other name.